ACAAGAAGAAAAAAAAAUUAGUGCACUUGCGCCAAUCAAUACUGUGCAUUUCGAAGGGAAAGCAUAGUAAGAGCUCCCAAAAGAGAUUAAGUGUUUAGAGGAUUUUAUUGCGGAAAUACGGAUUCUGUGGCGAAGAGAUGAUCCCCUAAUGAGUUUGCCUUCGCCUGUGUUAUAAAUUAUAAAAACUUAAGGAACGUCGACCAGUUCGUGUCAAUAAGGUGAGGAUUAAGUCUGCUCAUUGCCAGCCUGCACAAUAACGCCAAUUGGGAAUGGAAUGCUUCCUUCGUCCACUUGUAAGAAAAAUUCAAAAGAAAUAAAAAGAUAAACUUAAUAUGAAUACAUACUUAAGUAGCCAAUUGGUAUAACGUGGAUACGCCUGCAUAUGCAAACAUUAACUACAUGCAUAGUCCAAGUUUGCAUCGCACAGUACAUAAGAAAUUUAUCUACCUACCUACCUAUCUAGCCACCUAAACCUAUGUAAAUACUAUAUUAAUUGUAGCUUUGUAAUAAAAAAACGAGAGACGAUUCGUAUGAGUGACAAUGCAAACUUGUACUAAGCAUACGCCUUUUUGGUGGUGUAAUAUAAGUUCUUAUACUUCUUAUGCAAAAUUUUUGAUAACAACUAACGAAAUUGUGGAUUUAAAAAUACUGAGUUGAAUCUAUAAAAGCGGAAGGUAGAAUACGUUCUGCUAUUCGAAUUAUUCGAAAAGAGCAACUACCGAAAAACUUAGAUAUCAUUGAAGGCUAUUUCUUUAAACUGUUAAUUAGUGUAAAUAAUCUCGUCACGGAACUUCUUUGAUUAAAUAUUAUGCAUUAAUUCAAUCCGAAAAUUUAUACAUAUAUAUAAAUACAAUAAAAUUUCUGAGAGAAAUCUUGGUAAAAGCGUCACUCAAUGUCAAAAUUAAGGUCAGUGUAAUAAUUUUAUGAGGUUAUUGGUUAAACAUUAAAGAAGCCUUCGCUAAAAUGACAUUGAAUGACAUUACGAGAUUUUAAUUUCCAUGCUGUAUAUGUAUAUCUAAUAAAUGUUAAAUGUACGUAGUUAGUAAGGAAUGUUUGUUGUCGAAUGAAUUCACCGUUUUCUUUACAAAUUACGCUUGAUUUUGAUGUCCCGCAAUGUUUUUUUUUUUCCUAUAAAAUAUAAGCAACGUUUUGACAAACAAAUUUUGUUUGUUGUGUUUAUAUCUUUGUAUUAAACAUUUAUUUAAGUCGUUUUAUUGUAUUUUAAUAUGUUUUAUGAAAUUAUAUAGUGACGCCAAUGAUUGUGAUAUUCUAAGAAUUUUUGUUUUUUUCUGUCGCCUCCUCUUCCUCUGUCUAACUAUCUAUUAAAACCUUCCCACGACAUAUGACAUAGAAUUUAAAUUAAUUAAUUAUUUUAAUUUUAAAUUUAUUAAUUAAUUCUGGUAACAAAUUAAAAAUAUGGUUGAUAUU
Molecule: long non-coding RNA, 1428 nt
Organism: Danaus plexippus (monarch butterfly)
Lineage: Eukaryota; Metazoa; Arthropoda; Insecta; Lepidoptera; Nymphalidae
Exons: 3
Source: RefSeq, a predicted model, not a curated record